ACACAAACAGCACACACACACUAAAAGCACCCACACACAUACAUCACCCUUACACGCACAGCACACACACACACUAACAGCACCCUCACACACACAGCACCCUCACACACACACAACACACACUAACAGCACCAUCAUACACACACACACAGCACCCUUACACAUAUACAGCACCCUCACACACAGCACCCUUACACAUACACACAGCACACACUAACAGUACCCUCACACACAGCACCCUUACACAUACACACACACACACUAACAGUGCCCUUACACACACACAUACACACACACUAACAGCACCCUCACACACACAGCACACACACAGCACCCUCAAACACAGCACCCUUACACACACACACACACACUAACAGCACCC
This is a non-coding RNA of Pelobates cultripes (western spadefoot toad), 382 nucleotides long. Lineage: Eukaryota; Metazoa; Chordata; Amphibia; Anura; Pelobatidae. The record is from the annotation of a GenBank genome assembly.